UAACCUGCCCAAGAGAUCGGGAUAACACCUGGAAACAGAUGCUAAUACCGGAUAAUAACAGAUGAUGCCUAUCAACUGUUUAAAAGAUGGUUCUGCUAUCACUNUUGGAUGGACCUGCGGUGCAUUAGCUAGUUGGUAGGGUAACGGCCUACCAAGGCGAUGAUGCAUAGCCGAGUUGAGAGACUGAUCGGCCACAUUGGGACUGAGACACGGCCCAAACUCCUACGGGAGGCAGCAGAC
Molecule: ribosomal RNA, 240 nt
Filed under: uncultured Lactobacillus sp.
Lineage: Bacteria; Bacillati; Bacillota; Bacilli; Lactobacillales; Lactobacillaceae
Description: partial 16S ribosomal RNA
Rfam family: Bacterial small subunit ribosomal RNA
Source: RNAcentral